Molecule: long non-coding RNA, 6984 nt
Filed under: Homo sapiens (human)
Lineage: Eukaryota; Metazoa; Chordata; Mammalia; Primates; Hominidae
Description: HSALNT0141180
Source: RNAcentral
CCAAUGAUUCUAAUGGACAGCCACCUCUGAGAAGCGUUAGGCAGCCCGAGAAGGGGAAAUCCUGAAGGCAGUGGGGGGAGGUGGCCACCAGCGACUUGCCACCCCCUCCCGAGACAGAGCCAGCGCAGGAGGGUGUGACCAGCAUCAGGGAGGCGGGGAGACACAGUGACAGGACGGUGACAGUUUGGGUGUCCUUUCCGCCCGUGCGCGCGACGGGACGGAGGGGCAGGGGUUUCCUCCUUGGGAACGCUGUCUGUCUGGCAGCCAAGGAAGGCCGCGGCCUCUGGGGAUCCCCGCCCGUAUCGAGCGCCCCUUGCCGAGGGAACCUGGCUCGGCGAGCGGUGCGCGCAGGCUCGGAGGCGUGAGAGCGGGCCGGGCGGCGGCGCGGCCGGGAGCGGGUGACUCACCGGGCGGGGGCGGCUGGGGGCGGCUAGGGGCGGCCGCGGAGCCAACUGCAGCAGCAGCGGGCCCAGCCUGCCCCGCAACAGCCAGCGCGGCUCCUGGAGGGAAACGAGCAAGGCGGCCCCGCAGGUGUGGCGCGGCCCUGGGAGGGCGCGUGCGAGCGCUGCUUUGUUUGGUGCCCGCACAGCCCCGGGCUCCAGGCCUGAGCGCCAACCUUCCCGAGCUGAGUCACGGCUGCAGAGCCCGAGGGCGGCCAUACGGCCCCGCCCGGAAGGAUGAGGCCCCUUCCUGAAGCUGGCGAGUCCGAUGCGGUGGCAGGGACAAAAGCCAGGGGAAGGUGGCUUCUAUUCUACAAAGCCCUUUAGGGAAGGGGGGAGUCAGGCCGCCCUCACCCAGUGCAGGUCCGUCACGAUGGUCACCCAGAGCACUCACGCAGAAAGCCAGCUUGCAGCCGCCAGCCCUGAGGAUGCCGCCCCCAAAGGGCUCAUUGCUCUAAUCACCCGUCCAGGGGCUUGAGGCAAAGCUCCAAGACAGACCUGUAGCAGCAUGGCCCAAAAAGUUCCUCUGCUGCCCCAGUCCCAUACCUGCCUGAGGUACGGGGGUUCAGGCUGAGUCGGCUGACCUGGAGUCAUCUGGAAGCCUUGUCAGAAAUGCAGAUUCUGCAGUGCUGUUCCCAGAGGAUGAGAUUCAGCAGAACUGGGUGUUGGAUAUUAUAUGAAGAGAUUUGCAAGUGUUAUUUUACGUAAUUCGCACUUUACAAAGGAGGAAACUGCAGCGCAGGUACCAAGGUUGCCCCAUCUCGGUCCAGGCCUGCUCCCGGCGAGCCACUCGCCCUUGACCACGCCUCCUCUCUCCUGAUUGGCUGUCAGGCAUGAGUCGACAGAGAAAGAUGACCACUGCCCUCACCCCACUAAAGAAGCCCCAGCACUUAGCAAGCACUUAUGGCCCAGAGCAGACUGUCUCUACUUCAUUUCACUCUCCACACCCAGACUUGGACCACACUUGGAAAAGAACCAGCCAGUCCUGGAGGCUGCAUAUUGUGGAUAGCAGGACUCCACUCACAUCUCAAAGCUCCUCCCUGCCCAUUCCCAUGGUCCCUCCAGCCCUUGGGCAAUACUACCAAUAAGAAGGAGAAAUGAGCUGGAUUUCACUUCCUUUGGAGCAGGUGUGAAUAAACAGAAUUGUCCCAAACUUGGGCAGCAGAAGUGGGGAAAGAAGAAAGGCAACCGGCCAGGCGCGGUGGCUCACGCCUGUAAUCCCAGCAUUUGGGGAGGCCCAGGCGGAUCACCUGAGGUCAGGAGUUUGAGAACAACCUGGCCAACAUGGUGAAACCCAUCUCUACUAAAAAAAUACAAAAAUUAGCCAGGCAUGAUAGCUACUUGGGAGGCUGAGGCAGGAGAAUCUCUUGAACCCGAGAGGUGGAGUUUGCAGUGAGCUGAGAUCAUGCCACUGCACUCCAGCCUUGGUGACAGAGCGAGACUCCAUCUCAAAAAAAAAAAAAAAAAAAAAAAACCAGAAGAGAGCAACCAAUACUUAUGAAGCCUCUGAUAGUUACUCAAAUGCCACCAGUAAACCCACGAGACGCACAGGCUGGGAUUGGUAAGGCAACUUGCCCAAGGUCACCCAGCUAGAAAAGGCUAGAGGCGGGCGAGAGGGGAGCUCCAGAACCACCCCAAACACACUGCCUCCCCCACACCACUGCCUCCCCAACACUGCCUUCAAGAAAGAGAAAUCGAAGGACCUGGACAAUUUGCAAGCUGACUGCUCAGCUUCUGGACUCAUCCACCGCGUUUGUCAGAAGUCCCUGCAGAUGCCCGGCCACUAUGCCAGUACUCUCGUCUCGGGCUGCACUUGGAACUGGGUGGACAGCUGUAGAAGGACUACUAGUGCCUGGGCCCACCCCUUCUCCCCACCCCCAGUGCCUCACUUAACUGUCUGAGAUUCAGCCUAAGCACUGGGCUUUUAAAGUUCCCAGGUGACCGUUGCCCUCCGGGAUCCAUAUUCUCUUCAUCUGUAAGAUGGGGCUAAUGAUGUCUCCCAAACAGGGUGGUUGUAAGGAUGAAGUGUGAGGGGCCUAGGAAGGGAGGCCUGGAAAGAGGGAAGAGGACUGCUCAUCGCUGGGCUGAGGCUGCAGCCACCCUGUGCUAGGUGCUGUGCUACAGCCUGGGUCACUCUGCCAGGACCUAUAGGCUCCCUGCUUGGGGCAUGGUGCCCUGACCCUCGGCUCACGUCUGCCCAGAUCCUUACAGCUGAUGGAACCCUUUGCUCCAAGAGACGAGGUUGGCACACCGUGGUCUCAAUAAAUGUUUGUCGAGUAAACAGAUGAAGAUGUCCUUCGAUCUUCACAACAGUUUUGAGAAGCAAAAUGAAAAAGGACUCUCCCUUGACCCAAUAGAAAGGGAAGUUUGGACUCACCUCAAGGUGCUGUCACUAGCCAUGUGUUCCAGAGCAGCAACAUAACUUCUCAAAGCCUCUGUCACUUCAUUUGUAAAGCAGGACUUUGUCACUAUUGCUAGGUUAUAGGACUAUCCUGAAGAGCUGCUGAGACAACAUACGGGGGAAACAUUUCUAUAAAUUAUUUUUUGAUGAGGGAAUUGAGGUUUAUAGGGGUUAAGUGACUUGCCCACAGUCAAUCAGUAAAUUGUGAAGCCAAAACUUAAACUCGGGACCAGAGAGUUCCUGGGCGUGAGACAAACAAACGAACAAACAACAACAACAACAACAAAACCCCAAAACACUCAAAUAAUAUGUGGUUGCAGAGAAGGGAUGCAGAUAUUUGAAGAACAGACCUGAGGCUGUGUCAGCCCCCAAGGCACAUCUGAUGGGGAGUGUGUUGAGUUGAACUUUGCAGGAGGGAAGGGCUAGGCCUUUGGUAAAGUUUUUUUUUUUUUUUUUUUUUUUUUGAGACAGGGUCUCCCUCUAUCACCCAGGCUGGAGUGCAGUGGCACCAUCACAGCUCACUGCAGCCUCGACCUCCUGGGUUCAGCCAAUCCUCCCACCUCAGCCUCCUGAGUAACUGGGAUCACAGGCGCAUGCCACCACAUACCUGACUAAUUUUUUUUUAAUAGAGGUCUCACUGUGUUGCCCAGGCUGGUCUCAAAUUCCUGGGCUCAAGCAAUCCUCCUGCCUAGGCCUCCCAAACUGCUGGGAUUACAAACAUGAGCCACUGCGCCUGCCAGUGAAGAUGCUUUUUGAUAGGAGGACCAGCCUAGGAGAAAAUUCAGAGAUGAAUAAGCAAGGUAUUUUGUUUGUCCACAACAGAGAACCUGACAGGGAAGCUAAGAGGGAGGAAGCAGCUGUGGGGGAGGAACAUUUGUCAUUUCCAGAGGACACUGCUGCCAGGAGAGGGGCUCUCUGUAGCCCAGAGAGCCGUGGAGAGAGGGCUCCCCAACUCACAGCGCAGGAGGAGGGGAGUCAGAGCUGCUCUGCGCACAAGCUGCCCUGGAGGCACACUAGACAGGGAAGGGGCCGUGCAUCACUGACCACCUGUCAUGUCACCUGUGAUCACAGUAGGAUCGGGUGAAGGCCUCAUACCCCCUGGUGUGAUUGUCAUUUUCCACCCCAUUGUACAGGUGGGGCUCGGAGAGUUAGGUCACUGGCCACUUCCUAGAAUCCCUCCACCCCAACACACCCUGGCUGCCCCCCUAGUGCAUGCUGGGACCCCUCCAGCCCCAGAAUCCACAUGUCUGCUCUCCCCAGUGAACUCCAGGGUAGCUCCAUGCGGGGAGCCUGGCAGGCAGGCUGGCAUUACCUAAUUGCUGGCCGGCUUCUUUUAUCCCUUCAUUUUUUCAAGCUGCCUGGUUCUAAAAGUCUCAGACAGACAAAUGAGACUCCAGCCUUGUUCUGUUCGAGCUCCAGCAAAAGGAGGAGAUCACAGGCUGUCGCCUCAAUGGGGCAACAGCCAGAUCUAAAGGCACAAAGCACUGGGGGCAGCGGAUGUCUUUAGCGAACGACAAAGCCCAGGCCAAUGCCCUACUUACGGCUGAGACUUUUCUUCUUGGGCUGUGUCUUGUGCUGUGAGGUGCCUGGGGUCAGCACUGCUAGUGCCAGGACUUGAUCAUCAGCCAGCCUCCCUGGGGAGAUGAGCCCUUGUUAGGGCCAAACCUCAGCAUCCUAAAAGCCUCUCCUACCUCAACCAGGCAGGUGUUUCUGGGUUCAGGGGAGAAAAAUCUAGUCAGAGGAAUGCAUACUGCUGCAUGGCCUCAAACAGGCCUUCAGGCUUGGGGACUGGAGCCGACUCCCCAGGGCAGAAUAGGUACAGGCUGCCCAGCUGUAAAAGCAGGGCUCUGCCCCUCUGGGCUCCAGCUCCAAGGCUGUGGCACCUACCUGGGAAAGAAAAGUCCCUGGAGAAGCCGAGCAGAUCUGGCCUCGUCCUGUCCUUGUCCUGGCUGGUAGGUGGAGUGGAUAGAGCGUCCCUGACUCCCUCCUUGAACUGUGAGCAUCUCCAGGGCGGGAACUGUCCCCCAUAGGACUUGCUAUCUCCUGGCACAUGUUAGCAUUUACUGGGGCCAAGCACUGUUCUGAGUGUUUUAAGUAAACUAAUCCACUUAAUCCUCACCUCAACCCUAGGAGGUGUUACUCCCAUUUUUCAGAUAGAGAAACUGACACACAGAAAGAUUAGCUUCAAAAAGCUCAUAAAUGGGGAAUUGAAUCCAGGCAGCCUGGCUCCAGAACCCAAAUUAUUAGCCAUUAUACUGUACUGAAUAAGUAAAUAAUACAUGAAUAUAUGAAGAAAGGAAUGAACGGCUUGUAGAGAGAAUGACAUGAAAGUUCUCUGUUCAAAAGUAUUUCCUCUAUUAACAGUUUCAGGGCCUGUGAAUGCACUAUUGAAAUGCACAUUCAGUUUUAACUAAUGUGCUAUUCUCUUCAAAAAUGCUCCUAAGAAAUUGGGGUGAUAGCAAUUAUUGGCCAUGCUCUGUGGCCCCCGGAAUGUCUAGGGGAGGCCCAAGCUCUGGGAAGAACUUAAGCUAAUACCCGAGGAGGGAGAAACAAGGAGUUGGGUGUUUCUGCAGAGAACCCUGCUAGUUAUAUUAAUGAUGUGGCACAGGGACAGGAACACAGACUGUGAAGCCUCUGAGCUGGGUGUGUCUCUCACUGGCUUUCGGGCCUGGGGUGAGUCAUGCGGCCUCCCCGAGCUCCAGUGGCCCCAUCUGCCAGGGAAAUGCUGGUCCCUACCUGAUGGCUUAUGGUUAAAUAAGCUAUUGUAGUUAAUGCAUCUGGCACAGGAUAGAUGGUCAAUAAAUGGUAGCUGCUAUUGUUAUUAAACAAAUUAUAGGCAAAAAACUCAAGUCAGUAAUGAUCACCAGUCUGAGCCCCCUUCUUAAAGUGAUGCUUGCACUGGUGACCCUAUUUCUGGUCUCCUGGACACUCCAGUCAUGAUACUCCAAGGGCAAUAGCUUCUUCUCCCAGUGUCUUUCCUGGUUGUCUUCAUCCCUUCUCUUGCCACUGCCUUGGCCUGGGUUCCCACUGCCUGUCACCGGGACUCAGUCAAGUCUGAGAGAUUGAGAGCAUCUAUGAUAAAGCCAGCUGGAAGGAGCCCUGCUAAGCAGCCACCUCUGCUAAGCAGCCACCUCUGCCAAACAGUCACCUCUGCCAGUGUCCUCCUCUUUUUCUGGCUUCAACUCUUGGCACUCUAGCUUCUCUUCACUCCCCACCCCCUUUUCUCACUCUUCUCUCUCUGAUCAUUCCAUGGGUCUCUUUGGCUUUGGUUGAGCUCUAAUUAAGUUCCACAGCAGGUGGCAAUGAAGACAGCUUCUCUCCUGCAAGUGCUCAUCAAAGGGUUGUGCACAAGAAACUUGGACAAGAGGUAAAAAGAAGCCUGGCCCCUGGGGACAAGGAUGGGGCAGUCGGAGAACUCCUCGUGCAGCCAGUGCUCCGAAGGUGCAGAGUGAAGAUUUGCAGACUUGCUGUGUAUCCCGGCAUAAUGCCGUUUGUCCAUCUGCCACACUAGGACAGAAACUCUUCAUUCUGAGCAUAUGGAAGCUGAGAAGGAGGUCGGAGGCAACAGGAGCGGGAGGAGACCGGAAAGGACCAGGACAAAAUGGGGCCCUGGCACCUUCCUGGACAUGCGGCAGAGCCCCGUGGAAUCAGGGACUGAUGCAAGUGGAGUACUUAGCACACUGCCUGGCACAGAUGAGUGCUCAGUGCAUGCUGGCCUGUGGUGCUGGGUGUUAAGAGGGGCAGCUUUUAUUGGAAAGAAUAAAGAAUCAUAAGCAUAAAACAUCUGGUCACAGCCUCUCCUGCUGCCAGGGCCCUUGGUGGCUUACCAUGGUCUCAGGAGCAAAGGGCCCCCUACCAGAGCUUGAAAACCCACACAGUCACCCCAUCGACCUCCUGGCCUCCGCUCCUGCUGCUGCUCACCUGUGCCAGCCAGAAGGAAAGUACUUCCUUCAGUUCUUCAAGGGCCUCUUCUUGUCUCAAGACACUUGCACUCAGGAACUUGCUCUGUUGCACUUCCCUCCACCUAGUCAAGGCCUAAACAGCCUUAUUCUGACAGGUCAUAGUUCGCUUCCUUAAGAAAUGACCUCUGACUGUUCCUGGUUCCCACCCCAUCACGUGUGUCCCUUUGUGACCAUCUCUCCA